Molecule: ribosomal RNA, 138 nt
Filed under: Salmonella enterica subsp. enterica serovar Muenchen
Lineage: Bacteria; Pseudomonadati; Pseudomonadota; Gammaproteobacteria; Enterobacterales; Enterobacteriaceae
Also listed under: 8 other names
Description: partial 23S ribosomal RNA
Rfam family: Bacterial large subunit ribosomal RNA
Source: RNAcentral
UGAGUUCUCCCUGAGACUUUAGGUCUCCUGAAGGAACGUUGAAGACGACGACGUUGAUAGGCCGGGUGUGUAAGCGCAGCGAUGCGUUGAGCUAACCGGUACUAAUGAACCGUGAGGCUUAACCUUACAACGCCGAAG